UUCCGGUUGAUCCCGCCGGACCUGACUGCUAUCGGAUUGAUACUAAGCCAUGCAAGUCUUUGUAGUAAUACAAGGCAUACGGCUCAGUAACACGUAGUCAACCUACCCUAUGGAUGGGGAUAAUCUCGGGAAACUGAGCAUAAUACCCAACAGAUCAUCAAUUCUGGAAUGGUUGAUGAUUCAAAUGAUUUUUCGCCAUAGGAUGGGACUGCGGCCUAUCAGCUUGUUGGUGAGGUAAUGGCCCACCAAGGCAAUUACAGGUACGGGCUCUGAGAGGAGAAGCCCGGAGAUGGGUACUGAGACAAGGACCCAGGCCCUAUGGGGCGCAGCAGGCGAGAAAACUUUGCAAUGUGCGAAAGCACGACAAGGUUAAUCCGAGUGAUUUCUGCUAAAGGAAUCUUUUACCAGUUCUAAAAAUACUGGCGAAUAAGGGGUGGGCAAGUUCUGGUGUCAGCCGCCGCGGUAAAACCAGCACCUCAAGUGGUCAGGAGGAUUAUUGGGCCUAAAGCAUCCGUAGCCGGCUCUGUAAGUUUUCGGUUAAAUCUAUAUGCUCAACGUAUAGGCUGCCGAAAAUACUGCACAGCUAGGGAAUGGGAGAGGUAGACGGUACUCGGUAGGAAGGGGUAAAAUCCUUUGAUCUAUCGAUGACCACCUGUGGCGAAGGCGGUCUACCAGAACAUGUUCGACGGUGAGGGAUGAAAGCUGGGGGAGCAAACCGGAUUAGAUACCCGGGUAGUCCCAGCUGUAAACGAUGCAGACUAGAUAAUGCACUGGCACAUAGCCAGUGCAGUGUCUCAGGGAAGCCGUUAAGUCUGCCGCCUGGGAAGUACGUACGCAAGUAUGAAACUUAAAGGAAUUGGCGGGGGAGCACCACAAGGGGUGAAGCCUGCGGUUCAAUUGGAUUCAACGCCGGG
RNAcentral lists this ribosomal RNA (914 nucleotides) under uncultured marine archaeon. RNAcentral's name for it is "bacterial SSU rRNA". It matches the Rfam family "Archaeal small subunit ribosomal RNA", at positions 1 to 922 of the family's 1478-position model. The record is from RNAcentral.